This 241-nucleotide unclassified non-coding RNA is filed under the name uncultured Ascomycota. Its description in RNAcentral is "sequence contains ITS2". The record is from RNAcentral. Lineage: Eukaryota; Fungi; Ascomycota.
AACGCACAUUGCGCCCCUUGGUAUUCCGAGGGGCAUGCCUAUUCGAGCGUCAUUAUCACCCCUCAAGCCUAGCUUGGUGUUGAGACCUGCUGUCAAGGCAGUCUCUAAAAUCAGUGGCAGUGCUGUCAGGCUCUAAGCGUAGUAAAUCUAAUCGCUAUAGACACCUGGUGGACACUCGCCAGAACCCCCCCAUUUUUUAAUGAUUGACCUCGGAUUAGGUAGGGAUACCCGCUGAACUUAA